GGGAAGUGUCGCUGGGUUCCGGAAGUUCCCGUGAAGAGGCGCGUGUGAGGGGAGUUAGGUUUAUUUCUCCCACCGAGCUGGGGAAAGUCUGUUAGCCCGGCGGACUGCAAUCUCGAGGUCUAAGAGUAUAUGAAAUGGGAACAGAACUGUGAUUUGGAAAUUAUCUCAAACUUGGAUGUUGGGAGAAUCACUUCAGAAGUCCCGCCCACUUCUGAACAUUUGGGGGAUCAUCCAGCAUGGACAGGGAGUCAACUGUAGAAGGAAGGGAGAGUUUCUUACAGCUCCCUUCCUGCAGCUCUGCCAGCUGGGAACAUGGAAGGGAAGGAGGAGGAGCUUGAAAGAGGUUACUGGGACAUGGCGGCUAUGGCUGAGGUAAGUUGAGGGUUCCUUUCUUAAUUGAUUACCCUCAGAAGAAAUCCGGCCUUCCUUUGUACCCU
Molecule: long non-coding RNA, 437 nt
Filed under: Urocitellus parryii (Arctic ground squirrel)
Lineage: Eukaryota; Metazoa; Chordata; Mammalia; Rodentia; Sciuridae
Description: lncRNA (ENSUPAG00010014571.1)
Source: RNAcentral